CCCCCCGGCCCCAACAGAAGCCCUGAUUCACAUAUUUAGAGAAGAAAUAAUCUCAAUCCUACACCAACUCUCCCAGAACAUGAAGGAGGAGGGAUACUUCCCAACUCAUUUUAAUUUAUAUUUGACUUACCCUGAUGCUAAAGCCAGUCUAAGACAUUACAAUCAAUGAACUGGCUCAUCUGAUCUCGUGCCCCUCCUCCCCAACCCAGUAACUGACUGGGCAUUGCAUUCUGGUGGAACAACUGAUGCCACCCAGACUUGUGACCCCCACCCAGGAACUGACAGAGGCACAGAGACAGUUUUGAUAACCCUGUGGUUUCAUCCCUGACCAAACCAAUCAGUAUUUCCCAUUCCCUAGCUCCCUGCCUGCCAAACUAUCCUUAAAACCCUAGCCUCCGCAUUCUCUGGGAGGCAGAUUUGAGAAUUGUCUCAUCUUCUCGCUUG
Molecule: long non-coding RNA, 444 nt
Filed under: Homo sapiens (human)
Lineage: Eukaryota; Metazoa; Chordata; Mammalia; Primates; Hominidae
Description: HSALNT0050755
Source: RNAcentral